UACAGAGGUCCCGAGCGUUGUUCGGAUUCACUGGGCGUAAAGGGCGCGUAGGUGGCGAGGUAAGUCGGAUGUGAAAGCUCGGAGCUCAACUCCGAAAUGGCAUUGGAAACUACCUUGCUCGAGGGUUGGAGGGGGGACUGGAAUACUUGGUGUAGCAGUGAAAUGCGUAGAUAUCAAGUGGAACACCAGUGGCGAAGGCGAGUCCCUGGACAACUCCUGACACUGAGGCACGAAAGCUAGGGGAGCAAACAGG
Molecule: ribosomal RNA, 253 nt
Filed under: uncultured bacterium
Lineage: Bacteria
Description: partial 16S ribosomal RNA
Rfam family: Bacterial small subunit ribosomal RNA
Source: RNAcentral